Long non-coding RNA from Lucilia sericata (common green bottle fly), 701 nucleotides. RefSeq lists it as uncharacterized. The transcript has 2 exons. The record is from RefSeq and is a predicted model, not a curated record. NCBI's taxonomy places the organism in Eukaryota, Metazoa, Arthropoda, Insecta, Diptera, Calliphoridae.
AAAAAAAAAUGGAACAAUUGGCUUAAACAAAUCGGUUUAUCAAUAAAUUACGAUGUCAGUGUAUGUGGCAAUUUAUUAAAUAGUGAUCAAUGUUGAUAAAAGUUUUGAACAGAUAACAGAAAAAAAAAAAAAAAAAUCGUACAUGAAGCAAAACAUCUAAAACAAAAACUCAUCGUUCUUCAUCAUUUCAACACAAUAAAAAUAUUUAAGCAUACUGCUACAUAUUGUGGCGCUACAAAAUAACAGACAACUAAAAAACAGGAAAAUUACAACAAGAAGAAAGCAAAAAAAACCGGAGGCAGCACCAGCAACGACAACAACACAGAGUGCAACACACAGUAGCGGCAGAAGCAGCAGCUUCAUUAGUUAAUUGAACAUUGUUUUGGGUUUUUUGUUAUUGUGGUAACACAUUACUAUUACUUUUACAAACAAAAAAACACAUUGCUGCCACAUACUCUAUCACAACACAUAUAACAACAACCCAGCAGCCACCCAAUAAACAUGCAACAAAAGUUGCCAACAACAUCAUAUUAAAGUGUGAAAAAAGUUUUUUUUGCUUUGGUUGGUUUAUUAUAAAAAUAGACUGAAAGGAACAUAAAAACAUAAAACAGAGAACAUAUUUUAAAUAUGGGAAUAACUGUGGAAAAUUGAUCGCUUUUUUUUGUUGGUGUGGAUGGCAGUAAAGACAUCUCUGGCAGCAG